Molecule: ribosomal RNA, 725 nt
Filed under: uncultured bacterium
Lineage: Bacteria
Description: bacterial SSU rRNA
Rfam family: Bacterial small subunit ribosomal RNA
Source: RNAcentral
AUUGAACGCUGGCGGCAUGCCUAACACAUGCAAGUCGCGCGGGCUGUAGCAAUACAGCUAGCGGCGGACGGGUGAGGAAUACAUAGGAAUUUGCCUCAGAGCGGGGAUGAGCCCAGGGAAACUUGGAGUAAUACCGCAUGAUGUCGAAAGACCAAAGCAGGGGACCGCAAGGCCUUGCACUCUGAGAGAAGCCUAUGUCUGAUUAGCUAGUUGGUGAGGUAAUGGCUCACCAAGGCGACGAUCAGUAACUGGUCUGAGAGGACGAUCAGUCACACCGGAAACUGAGACACGGUCCGGACUCCUACGGGAGGCAGCAGUGGGGAAUAUUGGACAAUGGGCGCAAGCCUGAUCCAGCAAUGCCGCGUGUGUGAAGAAGGCCUCGGGUUGUAAAGCACUUUAGGCAGGGAAGAAAAUGUUCAAGCUAAUAUCUUGAGCCUUGACGGUACCUGAAGAAUAAGCACCGGCUAACUCUGUGCCAGCAGCCGCGGUAAUACAGAGGGUGCAAGCGUUAAUCGGAUUUACUGGGCGUAAAGCGUGUGUAGGUUGUUUGACAAGUCGGUUGUGAAAUCCCCGGGCUCAACCUGGGAACUGCUUCCGAGACUGUCCGACUAGAGUACGGUAGAGGGCGGUGGAAUUUCCCGGUGUAGCGGUGAAAUGCGUAGAUAUCGGAAGGAACACCAAUGGCGAAGGCAGCCNCCUGGGGCCUGUACUGACACUGAGACACG